AACGGGAUUAGAUACCCUGGUAGUCCACGCUGUAAACGAUGUCGAUUUGGAGGUUGUGCCCUUGAGGCGUGGCUUCCGGAGCUAACGCGUUAAAUCGACCGCCUGGGGAGUACGGCCGCAAGGUUAAAACUCAAAUGAAUUGACGGGGGCCCGCACAAGCGGUGGAGCAUGUGGUUUAAUUCGAUGCAACGCGAAGAACCUUACCUACUCUUGACAUCCAGAGAACUUUCCAGAGAUGGAUUGGUGCCUUCGGGAACUCUGAGACAGGUGCUGCAUGGCUGUCGUCAGCUCGUGUUGUGAAAUGUUGGGUUAAGUCCCGCAACGAGCGCAACCCUUAUCCUUUGUUGCCAGCGGUUCGGCCGGGAACUCAAAGGAGACUGCCAGUGAUAAACUGGAGGAAGGUGGGGAUGACGUCAAGUCAUCAUGGCCCUUACGAGUAGGGCUACACACGUGCUACAAUGGCAUAUACAAAGAGAAGCGACCUCGCGAGAGCAAGCGGACCUCAUAAAGUAUGUCGUAGUCCGGAUUGGAGUCUGCAACUCGACUCCAUGAAGUCGGAAUCGCUAGUAAUCGUAGAUCAGAAUGCUACGGUGAAUACGUUCCCGGGCCUUGUACACACCGCCCGUCACACCAUGGGAGUGGGUUGCA
This 648-nucleotide ribosomal RNA is filed under the name uncultured Serratia sp. RNAcentral describes it as "bacterial SSU rRNA". It matches the Rfam family "Bacterial small subunit ribosomal RNA", at positions 771 to 1419 of the family's 1533-position model. The record is from RNAcentral. Lineage: Bacteria; Pseudomonadati; Pseudomonadota; Gammaproteobacteria; Enterobacterales; Yersiniaceae.